CCUACGGGAGGCAGCAGUGGGGAAUAUUGGACAAUGGGCGAAAGCCUGAUCCAGCCAUGCCGCGUGUGUGAAGAAGGUCUUCGGAUUGUAAAGCACUUUAAGUUGGGAGGAAGGGUUGUAGAUUAAUACUCUGCAAUUUUGACGUUACCGACAGAAUAAGCACCGGCUAACUCUGUGCCAGCAGCCGCGGUAAUACAGAGGGUGCAAGCGUUAAUCGGAAUUACUGGGCGUAAAGCGCGCGUAGGUGGUUUGUUAAGUUGGAUGUGAAAGCCCCGGGCUCAACCUGGGAACUGCAUCCAAAACUGGCAAGCUAGAGUACGGUAGAGGGUGGUGGAAUUUCCUGUGUAGCGGUGAAAUGCGUAGAUAUAGGAAGGAACACCAGUGGCGAAGGCGACCACCUGGACUGAUACUGACACUGAGGUGCGAAAGCGUGGGGAGCAAACAGGAUUAGAUACCCGGGUAGUC
RNAcentral lists this ribosomal RNA (465 nucleotides) under uncultured bacterium. RNAcentral describes it as "bacterial SSU rRNA". It matches the Rfam family "Bacterial small subunit ribosomal RNA", at positions 338 to 795 of the family's 1533-position model. The record is from RNAcentral.